GCAGACGUGGUGGAAUUGGCAGACACGCAGGUCUAAGGAGCCUGUGUCUUCAAGACAUACGGGUUCAAGUCCCGUCGUCUGCACCA
This 86-nucleotide transfer RNA is filed under the name Clostridium butyricum. Its description in RNAcentral is "tRNA-Leu". It matches the Rfam family "tRNA". From Rfam's summary of the family: Transfer RNA (tRNA) molecules are approximately 80 nucleotides in length. Lineage: Bacteria; Bacillati; Bacillota; Clostridia; Eubacteriales; Clostridiaceae. RNAcentral also lists the same sequence under 2 other names. The record is from RNAcentral.